AAGCUAUUACUUAGUUAAACUAUAUCAUUAUAAGUACACUAUAAGGACUUAAGUUAAAAUUAUCUCUUAAUGAAAGAUAUACACUAGGAGUUAUUUUUAAUAGAUAUUUUGGGUUUGUGAAGUACAUAUUUAGGAGCUUUUGCUUAAAUAAGAUAAAUCAAUAAAGUUAUAAAUUUGCAUCCAUGCUGAGAUUUUGAAUUGUGCAUUUAUUGGAGGUUAAAAUUUGAACUUUGUUGUUUGAUUUUGAGAUUUGCAAAAGAAAAUAAAGAAAGAAAACUGAAUUUUGAAAAAAGAAAAUAAAAACUUACCUCAAGUCCUCUCGGCCAACUCCCUAAUGCACGACCAUUCUGAUUUUUAUAUUUUUCUUCAGCCCAACUGUAGAAUCCCAUUGCACCAGGCCACGUUUUUCUUAUUAUUUUUUUUUUCUAGCCACAGGCUCGCAUGCAUCUUGGUGAUCGGAUGAUGCUGCAUUAGAUUUUUUUUACUGUGUCGCUUGCGAGUGGGCUUAGGACGCCAGGCUCCGUCACGUAACCAUCGUAACCGAUCCAUGCGCAACAAACUCAAUCGGAAAUCGCGGAGUUGUUCACCAGAUGAUCUUCCCAUGGGCUAUAAAACCUGACCCUCGUGCUCCCCUCUGCUCACCACAACCGAGCCAAGAAGCUAGAAUUUCGCGUCGCCAUUGCUGGGUGUGGGAGCUCGUAGUCGCCUCCACAGCCUUGUCGCGGGCAGUCCGCUGCCGGUGCGCGCGCGCGGCUGGGUUGCCUGGACAUCGGUGUGGUACUCUAGGGCAGCACCAUUGUUUCGUGGAGUCCCAGAAACCAUCAAUUUGGCCUGCGGACCUUGGGCGUCUUGGCAAUUGCUCGCCGGACACCCGAAAGUGCCGUGGAGCCGCCUCCGACGUGGACCAUCCCUGCUUCGUCGCCCCUGCCUUUGCGCGAGGUUUCGAGGAUCUGAAGAAUUACCCUGGUAACUGGAAUCUCAAGUGCCAGGCAAGUUGUGGCCUUGAUCACUUCUUUUUACCUACUCAUGUUCUGAUUAAUCAUAAUGAUCUGCAUAGGUUAAUUUUGAUGGGACCCAAUAGGUUACCCUAGUUUGUCUAUCUUUAUGCCUUGUUUACCCCUGAAUCACUUGGGUAGUUCUGCUACUGCUUUAUAUGGUUUUGGGUUAAUAUUUCAUUAUAUCUAUGUACCAAUUAUGUUGUUAUUUUAUUUAUGUUCAUGACAAGAUCAUUAAAUGUUAAUUGGAACAUAGAGCUUAACUUGAGAAACACGUGCCACCACAAGGGUUUAUGGACGCCCUUGGCUGAUUAAUUAGGAAAGCUAGUGGAAGACUACCUUACCCGAAAGGGGCAAGGGCAGUAGGGGAGUGGUCAGUGUAGGGAGGCCCUCGGGAGGAUUUUGCUGCGAUGGCGGUCCUGCAAGGGAUUCCUGCAUUGGAGCUUCCCAUAAACUGUAGCGGGUUUUCUGAAGCUAGUGGAACUUUGUAAAGGCCUCGUAGUGUUACCCUGCCUCGCCUCCUCGGUAGAGGUGUAUGGGAAGUCGCGAUCCCUUGGCAGAUGGGUAACACGACUUGUGGGUAAAGGGUACCACCUCUGCAGAGUGUAAAACUGGUAUACUAGCCGAGCUCACGGUCAUGAGCAGCUCAGGACUCUCUGAUGAUUAAAUUAUGGAACUUAAACUCAAUUUGUCAUAUGCAUUGCAUCGCAGGUGAUGUUGUUACUUUUGUUCUACUAUUUAAUUGGGUUUGGUAUUUACUUAUACUUAGUAAUUGCUAAUAAAAUUUUGACCAACUUUAAAAGCAAUGCUCAGCUUCAGCCAUCCUCUUUGGUAAGCCUUACACUUCACGUGAGCUCCCACCUUUGGCGAGUUCAUGCACAUUAUUCCCCACAACUUGCUGAGCGAUGAACGUAUGUGAGCUCACUCUUGCUGUCUCACACCCCCCCACAGGUCAAGAACAGGUACCGCAGGAUGAGGCGCAUGGAGGAUGCUGCGAUGAGUUUGUGAGAGAUCUAGGCCGUCGUCUCCUAGUCAACUUUGGGUUGCUGGACCGUUGUCUCCUUAUAAUGUAAUUAUUUACUUAUUUUGUAUAGAACUCCUGUUAUGUAGUAAAGAUGUGACAUUCGAUCCUGUGCCAUGAUUCAUCAUAUGUGUGAGACUUGGUCCUAGCACACCUGGUGAUUAUGUUCGCGCCCGGGUCUUUGUGCCCCAAAACCCGGGUGUGACAGAAGUGGUAUCAGAGGAAUGUUGACUGUAGGACGAAACCUAGAUAGAACUGGACAACCAUUCUUUACUUACCCUUGCUACUCUGAUUCUUUUCUAAACUUUUCUUAAUCUUUUCUCAUCUAUUUCCACUUUACUCUGAUCAUUCUUACCUUUUCCUUCUAAAGACAAAUGUGGAUUUCACACUUUGAAAUCCUGUGCCUAAAGUGACCUUUAGGAAUAGGAGACCUAUUCAUAGGAACCACAUCAAAACUAUUUUUUUAUAAAUAUUUGUAUGCUUGAAUGUUUGUUCUUACGAUACUUGUCUGAUUUGGAUCUUUGAUUGAGUGUGAUGAGUUGUGGAGUAAUGUCCACAAUUACAUCUACAUAUACAUAUAGGCAUAAAUAUAAAUGAAUAAAAUUCAUGAGAUAACUAAACAACCUAGAUUAUCCUCCAUUAAAGUGUAUCUAUUUCAUAUAGAUCCAUCUUAUCUCUCUUAUCUUAAUAGAUCCAUCUUAUCUUAAAAGAUUCUCUCUUAUUCCAAUAGAUUCAUCUUAUCUUGAAGGAAUCAUCUUAUCCUAACCACUUUACUUAUCUCAUCCUAAAGUAACAACCAUGAUCUAAUUAAUGAGAUUUUAUCUAGUCUAUCUAGUCAUAACAAUCUAACCUAUAUCUGAUGUGAUAGAUUAAUCCAACCUAACGAAGUCUAACCUUAAGUUGAGCUACUCUAAUCUAAGUUACUUAAACAAGUUAGUUAAUACUGGUAACAUAGAUUAGAUUAUAUUCCUAUAAAUGGGUGCUAAACCUGAAUUGGUGUCUUAGACCAACUCUCCGUGAAACCACAACCUAGCCUAUGUUAUAGGUUGCCCAACCCAUUUAUCCCAAAAGCAAAGUAAACCGUGUUGGGCCUACCCAUCCCAAGCACUGAUCUUAACCAUAUGUCCUUAACACGGAUGGCAACUCUAGGGCUGAAGGCCAAAGAAGACCAACCACGUCAAAGGAGGAUAAGCAUCAACUCAAGUCUUCAAAGAUCAAGUUGGAUCGCCAGAGGAAUCAAGAUCUAGAGUUCAGGAAUCGGGAUGAAGUCUUUCCUUAUUAUACUCUUCCUUGCCACACUUGCUAAAACCGUACCUCAUCUGACCUAAUAAGGUGGCUAGGCAUAGAAGAUACUCAUGGUUUCCUAAUCACUUUAUAAUUAACAUGAAACUUCUUAUUCUUAAACUAAUUAGAAACUAAAAGCUAAACUAUAAAUAAGGCUUUUUUUUACAUUCCUUUCUUACAAAUCUCGAGGACGAGAUUUCUGUUAAGGGGGUAGGAUUUGUAACACCUGAAAAUCCUAUGACGAGCUUUUAGUAAAAUUCUCCAUAAAUUUUGAGUUAGAAUAUCUUUUUAAAGAUUUUCUUUACCAUUGAAGUUAAUCCUCCUAAAUAAAAUAAAUAUGCUUCUAAUAUUUUUUUUUAAAAAAAUUCCUACGUGAACAAAGCUAUUACUUAGUUAAACUAUAUCAUUAUAAGUACACUAUAAGGACUUAAGUUAAAAUUAUCUCUUAAUGAAAGAUAUACACUAGGAGUUAUUUUUAAUAGAUAUUUUGGGUUUGUGAAGUACAUAUUUAGGAGCUUUUGCUUAAAUAAGAUAAAUCAAUAAAGUUAUAAAUUUGCAUCCAUGCUGAGAUUUUGAAUUGUGCAUUUAUUGGAGGUUAAAAUUUGAACUUUGUUGUUUGAUUUUGAGAUUUGCAAAAGAAAAUAAAGAAAGAAAACUGAAUUUUGAAAAAAGAAAAUAAAAACUUACCUCAAGUCCUCUCGGCCAACUCCCUAAUGCACGACCAUUCUGAUUUUUAUAUUUUUCUUCAGCCCAACUGUAGAAUCCCAUUGCACCAGGCCACGUUUUUCUUAUUAUUUUUUUUUUCUAGCCACAGGCUCGCAUGCAUCUUGGUGAUCGGAUGAUGCUGCAUUAGAUUUUUUUUACUGUGUCGCUUGCGAGUGGGCUUAGGACGCCAGGCUCCGUCACGUAACCAUCGUAACCGAUCCAUGCGCAACAAACUCAAUCGGAAAUCGCGGAGUUGUUCACCAGAUGAUCUUCCCAUGGGCUAUAAAACCUGACCCUCGUGCUCCCCUCUGCUCACCACAACCGAGCCAAGAAGCUAGAAUUUCGCGUCGCCAUUGCUGGGUGUGGGAGCUCGUAGUCGCCUCCACAGCCUUGUCGCGGGCAGUCCGCUGCCGGUGCGCGCGCGCGGCUGGGUUGCCUGGACAUCGGUGUGGUACUCUAGGGCAGCACCAUUGUUUCGUGGAGUCCCAGAAACCAUCAAUUUGGCCUGCGGACCUUGGGCGUCUUGGCAAUUGCUCGCCGGACACCCGAAAGUGCCGUGGAGCCGCCUCCGACGUGGACCAUCCCUGCUUCGUCGCCCCUGCCUUUGCGCGAGGUUUCGAGGAUCUGAAGAAUUACCCUGGUAACUGGAAUCUCAAGUGCCAGGCAAGUUGUGCCCUUGAUCACUUCUUUUUACCUACUCAUGUUCUGAUUAAUCAUAAUGAUCUGCAUAGGUUAAUUUUGAUGGGACCCAAUAGGUUACCCUAGUUUGUCUAUCUUUAUGCCUUGUUUACCCCUGAAUCACUUGGGUAGUUCUGCUACUGCUUUAUAUGGUUUUGGGUUAAUAUUUCAUUAUAUCUAUGUACCAAUUAUGUUGUUAUUUUAUUUAUGUUCAUGACAAGAUCAUUAAAUGUUAAUUGGAACAUAGAGCUUAACUUGAGAAACACGUGCCACCACAAGGGUUUAUGGACGCCCUUGGCUGAUUAAUUAGGAAAGCUAGUGGAAGACUACCUUACCCGAAAGGGGCAAGGGCAGUAGGGGAGUGGUCAGUGUAGGGAGGCCCUCGGGAGGAUUUUGCUGCGAUGGCGGUCCUGCAAGGGAUUCCUGCAUUGGAGCUUCCCAUAAACUGUAGCGGGUUUUCUGAAGCUAGCGGAACUUUGUAAAGGCCUCGUAGUGUUACCCUGCCUCGCCUC
Long non-coding RNA from Zea mays, 5195 nucleotides. RefSeq lists it as uncharacterized. The transcript has 3 exons. Lineage: Eukaryota; Viridiplantae; Streptophyta; Magnoliopsida; Poales; Poaceae. The record is from RefSeq and is a predicted model, not a curated record.